This 495-nucleotide ribosomal RNA is filed under the name uncultured bacterium. RNAcentral describes it as "partial 16S ribosomal RNA". It matches the Rfam family "Bacterial small subunit ribosomal RNA", at positions 28 to 507 of the family's 1533-position model. The record is from RNAcentral.
GAUGAACGCUGGCGGCGUGCCUAAUACAUGCAAGUAGAACGCUGAAGGAGGAGCUUGCUCUUCUGGAUGAGUUGCGAACGGGUGAGUAACGCGUAGGUAACCUGCCUGGUAGCGGGGGAUAACUAUUGGAAACGAUAGCUAAUACCGCAUGACAACAGUUAUUGCAUGAUAACUGUUUAAAAGGGGCAACUGCUCCACUACCAGAUGGACCUGCGUUGUAUUAGCUAGUUGGUGAGGUAACGGCUCACCAAGGCGACGAUACAUAGCCGACCUGGGAGGGUGGUCGGCCACACUGGGACUGGGACACGGCCCAGACUCCUACGGGAGGCAGCAGUAGGGAAUCUUCGGCAAUGGACGGAAGUCUGACCGAGCAACGCCGCGUGAGUGAAGAAGGUUUUCGGAUCGUAAAGCUCUGUUGUAAGAGAAGAACGAGUGUGAGAGUGGAAAGUUCACACUGUGACGGUAUCUUACCAGAAAGGGACGGCUAACUACGUG